GCCGGAGUGGCGAAAUGGUAGACGCGCGAGACUCAAAAUCUUGUAUGGGCAACCAUGUGUCGGUUCGAGUCCGACCUCCGGUACCA
RNAcentral lists this transfer RNA (86 nucleotides) under Nitrospinota bacterium. Its description in RNAcentral is "tRNA-Leu". It matches the Rfam family "tRNA". Rfam says of the family: Transfer RNA (tRNA) molecules are approximately 80 nucleotides in length. Their secondary structure includes four short double-helical elements and three loops (D, anti-codon, and T loops). Lineage: Bacteria; Pseudomonadati; Nitrospinota. The record is from RNAcentral.